RNAcentral lists this ribosomal RNA (119 nucleotides) under Xenopus tropicalis (tropical clawed frog). The record is from RNAcentral. Lineage: Eukaryota; Metazoa; Chordata; Amphibia; Anura; Pipidae.
GCCUACGGCCAUACCACCCUGAAAGCGCCCGAUCUCGUCUGAUCUCGGAAGCUAAGCAGGGACGGGCCUGGUUAGUACUUGGAUGGGAGACCGCCUGGGAACACCUGGUGUUGUAGGCU